RNAcentral lists this small RNA (870 nucleotides) under Pan troglodytes (chimpanzee). RNAcentral's name for it is "retained intron". Lineage: Eukaryota; Metazoa; Chordata; Mammalia; Primates; Hominidae. The record is from RNAcentral.
AUGGCCAUAUCUAUUGUCUGUGAUGAAUACUUCCUACCCUCCCUGGAAAUCAUCAGUGAAUCCCUUGGAUUGUCUCAGGAUGUUGCAGGCGCAACUUUCAUGGCAGCGGGUAGUUCAGCUCCUGAAUUAGUUACUGCUUUCCUAGGUGUAUUUAUCACAAAGGGAGAUAUUGGCAUUAGCACCAUCCUUGGAUCUGCAAUUUAUAAUCUCCUUGGCAUCUGUGCUGCCUGUGGUUUGCUAUCUAAUACGGUCUCAACACUAUCAUGUUGGCCCCUCUUCAGAGACUGUGCAGCGUACACAAUUAGUGUAGCAGCAGUUCUUGGUAUAAUAUAUGACAACCAAGUUUACUGGUAUGAAGGGGCUUUACUGCUUUUGAUAUAUGGAUUGUAUGUUUUGGUGCUGUGUUUUGACAUUAAAAUUAACCAAUAUAUUAUAAAGAAAUGCAGUCCUUGCUGCGCCUGUCUUGCCAAAGCUAUGGAGAGAAGUGAACAACAGCCACUGAUGGGCUGGGAAGAUGAAGGUCAACCAUUCAUUCGUCGGCAAUCAAGAACUGAUAGUGGAAUAUUUUAUGAAGAUUCUGGCUACUCUCAGCUCUCUAUAAGUUUACAUGGUCUUAGUCAGGUUUCUGAAGGUAAUCACUAAAUCUUGCCCAUUAUUAAGUCUAUUCGCAAAGGAAAAACUUUAAAAUUUCAUUUCAAUUCAGCAAGUAUUGUGUGCUUUUUAUGUAAAAAAGACUGUGAAGACUCAGAAAUGAUAAAGACUAAGUCCCUACCUUUAAGGAACUUCCAAUAUCACAGGAAAUACAAAAUAGCUAAAGUAUGAACGUUAAGUACCAUAAAAAGAGAAAAAUAAAGUGUGACUGUGGUUCAC